This is a long non-coding RNA of Lethenteron reissneri (Far Eastern brook lamprey), 933 nucleotides long. RefSeq lists it as uncharacterized. Lineage: Eukaryota; Metazoa; Chordata; Hyperoartia; Petromyzontiformes; Petromyzontidae. The record is from RefSeq and is a predicted model, not a curated record.
UGGCAAGGCACGGCGUGUCUCACCACCGUGCAAUUUCACUUUUCUGGCGAUUUUUGCCAAUUUGGUGUCCCCAGGGUCAGUCACUCUUGCAAAUGAGGCUAUCCUUGUCCUCUCUGAGUUACUCAGCCGGUUAAGCAAAGCCCAACAUCAGUCCACUGCUGGAUGAGGGAGUCCCUUCCCAAGCUGCCGCCGUCACCUGCGUCUCGCGCGUCGCCACCAACCCAUCGGCGCGCCCCCCCCCUGCGCACGAGCCGAUGUUGUGUCGCUCCAUCUCCCCGGUGGUGGGGACAUCUUCCUACCAUCUGUUGUUCUCGUCCGCGCGCUGCCACUCACAGCCGUCGAGCGUCAACAAGGCUGGCCAUCGUGACGUCUAUCGUAGCGGUCUCGGGCCACAGUUCCUAUGAGCACUGUUACAUUGUUUUUAUAGCUUUAUUUUGGGGAUUUUUUAAAACGUUUCGGUUUAGUCACGUUUGUUUGUUGUGGUACAAAGUUAGACCGAUAAUUUGAAUCUACAUUGUCUUGUGGUUGUUAUUGUUUGACUUGUACCCCACUUGGGAUGUUUGCACACAGCGUUGAAAUACGGUGUUUUUUGAAAAUAUUUAUUUAAAACUUUUUUGUACAUUUCAUAAAAGCGUGUUUAAAAGUAUACAUGUACAGAUACAUACACAUAGGAAUACGUACAGAGAUACAGCUUCGCUUUGUGUGACAUUUUUUAGAACGCAUCUGCUUUCCGCAUGAAGCGAGUUAAAGCUGCAUUCGUAAAUGUCGUUGUUGGAGUAAUAAUAAUAAUAAUAUAUUUUAGUUAUAACCGGUCGAAAGCCAAUUGUGAUCAGUUUGCCAAAUGGAUGCACCUUUUUCAUAUCGCAACACUCGUAGCAAUAUGGUAUCGGUAUUGUGUCGGCUCGGGGUGAUUAAUUUGGUAUGGGAAUUGUC